This 468-nucleotide ribosomal RNA is filed under the name uncultured bacterium. RNAcentral describes it as "partial 16S ribosomal RNA". It matches the Rfam family "Bacterial small subunit ribosomal RNA", at positions 28 to 507 of the family's 1533-position model. The record is from RNAcentral.
GACGAACGCUGGCGGCGUGCUUAACACAUGCAAGUCGAACGGAACGGCCCUGCUGUUGUGGUGUGCUCGAGUGUCGAUUGUGUGUGUGACACGUGCGUAACCUGACCUCGACUUUAGGAUAACUUCAGGAAACUGGGGCUAAUACCAGACAGGUGCUCCUACUGCAUAGUGGGGGUUCGAAAGAUUCUGCGGUUGGGGAUGGUCUCGCGGCUUAUUAGCUUGUUGCGUGGGUUGGGUAAUACCAAGGCGUAGACGGGUAGCCGGGCUGAGAGGCGUACCGGACACAUUGGGACGGAGAUACGGCACAGACUCCUACGGGAGGCAGCAGAGGAGAAUAGUGUACAAUGGGAGGAAGCCUGAUGCAACAACGCCGCGUGCGGGAUGACGGCAAGCGGGUUGUAAUCCGAAUUCGCCUGAGACGAAGCGUGAGUGACGGUAAUGGGUAAAGAAGCACCGGCUAAAUACGUG